Long non-coding RNA from Oncorhynchus tshawytscha (Chinook salmon), 371 nucleotides. The record is from Ensembl. NCBI's taxonomy places the organism in Eukaryota, Metazoa, Chordata, Actinopteri, Salmoniformes, Salmonidae.
GGCUACAUCAUCCUCAAGGUAGCACACACACACUGCUACAUCAUCCUCAAGGUAGCACACACACACACUGCUACAUCAUCCUCAAGGUAGCACACACACACACUGCUACAUCAUCCUCAAGGUAGCACACACACACACACUGCUACAUCAUCCUCAAGGUAACACACACACACACACUGCUACAUCAUCCUCAAGUUAACACACACACACACUGCUACAUCAUCCUCAAGUUAACACACACACACACACACACACACACUGCUACAUCAUCCUCAAGGUAGCACACACACACACUGCUACAUCAUCCUCAAGUUAACACACACACACACACACACUGCUACAUCAUCCUCAAGUUAACACACACACACACU